Non-coding RNA from Schistosoma curassoni, 45 nucleotides. The record is from Rfam. Lineage: Eukaryota; Metazoa; Platyhelminthes; Trematoda; Strigeidida; Schistosomatidae.
AUCCAGCUGACGCGUCCCAAAUAGGACGAAACGCGUGUACUGGAU